CCCAGAGGCAUGCUGCACAGACUCCCCAGGGGAGAGUAAAUGUAAAUAUGUCAGAGUUUAUUGUGGCUCUUGAAAGAUGGCACAUGUGACUUACUGGAGCUGGUAACAAGAAUGGCAGCCUUAAAGUUUAAACCUACAUAUACAUCUGAGAAGACACUGAAGUCCCUAAUGAAUGUGUCAUCGGACAUGGAUUGACUUGAGUUCUCCACGUCAUCUAGUCUUUAGAUUCGUAGAGAAGAUUCUGCUCAAACAGCUGCUCCCCAG
RNAcentral lists this long non-coding RNA (264 nucleotides) under Homo sapiens (human). RNAcentral's name for it is "non-protein coding lnc-HIST1H2BJ-2:2". The record is from RNAcentral. Lineage: Eukaryota; Metazoa; Chordata; Mammalia; Primates; Hominidae.